This 1045-nucleotide long non-coding RNA is filed under the name Gallus gallus (chicken). RNAcentral describes it as "lncRNA (ENSGALG00010027823.1)". Lineage: Eukaryota; Metazoa; Chordata; Aves; Galliformes; Phasianidae. The record is from RNAcentral.
GGGAACAUCUGGGGCUGGGUGGGAUGUCGGGCCACAGCCCCUGACCUGUGAGGACGUGGCAGCUUUGGGCUCUAUGGGCUCUGGUUUUGCAUCAUCAGCAAAGAUGACAUUGUGUCCUCUGCAAGGAGAGGGGCGAAGGGGCUCACAUCUGUUUUGGAAACCAUUCAGCGCAGGAAAACGACCCACAUGCAGAAGUAAUGUGGUUUUGAUUGUACUGUGCUCUAUAGAAAGUAGUGCACACAUAUUAAACUAUAUUAGACAGUAUAAUAAUAGCUUGCAGUUUGUCUGCCUUUCAUCUGGACGUGCCUCGCGGACGUCACGUGGAUGCAGAGCCCUCUUUCACUGCUGCUGAGCUGCAGCCGCCCCGCGCAUCCCUGCAGUGUGUGCAGCACAGCGCGUCCCAGAGGUGCUGACCAGGAUGCAGGAUUCCCUGGGAUCCAAAGAUCCCCAUCCUGCUGUGCCCCAGAUCUGAUGUGUAAGGAGCAGGAAAAUCUAAACACAAACGAGGAGUGCAGGAGGCACCGGCGCGAUGCGUGAUUUUAAGCUGCUGCAGCGCUGCGUUAGGAGUGGUUUCGACGCAUCGGGUGCGAUGGGCACCGGCAAAGCAGGGAACGCUGCUCCAGGAGCACAUCCAGAGCGGGCAGCUUUGUACAAACAAGGAGAUGAGAGGCAGAGGGAGGGCUCAGGGCUGGAACACCGCUGUAAACACAGUGUGCUUUGGCUCGGAGUCGGGUGAGCCCCUGCGACGGCGGCGGAGCUGCAGGGAGGUGUGCGCCCGCGUGCCAGCGCCGAGCGGAGCUUUCACAAUAAAUGAUUAAAGCAUGGUUCAGAUCCCGUCAAAUGGAACGGUGCUAAUCUAAUCACAAUCCAUCUGGCACUGCCACAUCUGUCCCAACACCUCCACCUCUUCAUUUUCAAUCAGCCUUAAAUAGUACAUAAUUAUUAAUGUCUACCCGGCUGUCAGGCGGCGCGGGGGAUUCACUUAUCUCUCCCAUCGGCUCAGGAAGGGAUCGGGGAUCGGGGAUGGAGGGCUGGGAGCCCUCAG